RNAcentral lists this ribosomal RNA (460 nucleotides) under uncultured bacterium. RNAcentral describes it as "partial 16S ribosomal RNA". It matches the Rfam family "Bacterial small subunit ribosomal RNA", at positions 338 to 795 of the family's 1533-position model. The record is from RNAcentral.
CCUACGUGAGGCAGCAGUGAGGAAUAUUGGUCAAUGGGCGCGAGCCUGAACCAGCCAAGUAGCGUGAAGGAUGACUGCCCUACGGGUUGUAAACUUCUUUUAUAAAGGAAUAAAGUGAGGCACGUGUGCCUUUUUGUAUGUACUUUAUGAAUAAGGAUCGGCUAACUCCGUGCCAGCAGCCGCGGUAAUACGGAGGAUCCGAGCGUUAUCCGGAUUUAUUGGGUUUAAAGGGAGCGUAGAUGGGUUGUUAAGUCAGUUGUGAAAGUUUGCGGCUCAACCGUAAAAUUGCAAUUGAUAAUGGCAGUCUUGAGUACAGUUGAGGUAGGCGGAAUUCGUGGUGUAGCGGUGAAAUGCUUAGAUAUCACGAAGAACUCCGAUUGCGAAGGCAGCUUACUAAACUGCCACUGACAUUGAUGCUCGAAAGUGUGGGUAUCAAACAGGAUUAGAUACCCCAGUAGUC